Molecule: ribosomal RNA, 253 nt
Filed under: uncultured bacterium
Lineage: Bacteria
Description: partial 16S ribosomal RNA
Rfam family: Bacterial small subunit ribosomal RNA
Source: RNAcentral
UACGUAGGGUGCGAGCGUUAAUCGGAAUUACUGGGCGUAAAGCGUGCGCAGGCGGUUCGCUGUGUCCGAUGUGAAAGCCCCGGGCUUAACCUGGGAAUGGCAUUGGAAACUGGCGGGCUUGAGUGCGGCAGAGGGGGGUGGAAUUCCGCGUGUAGCAGUGAAAUGCGUAGAUAUGCGGAGGAACACCGAUGGCGAAGGCGGCUCUCUGGGGUGCACCUGACGCUGAUGCGCGAAAGCGUGGGGAGCGAACCGG